AUUUGACGUUACCUACAGAAGAAGCACCGGCUAACUCCGUGCCAGCAGCCGCGGUAAUACGGAGGGUGCGAGCGUUAAUCGGAAUUACUGGGCGUAAAGCGCAUGCAGGCGGCCUGUUAAGUCAGAUGUGAAAGCCCGGGGCUUAACCUCGGAAUUGCAUUUGUAAACUGGCAGGCUAGAGUCUUGUAGAGGGGGUAGGAAUUUCAGGUGUAGCGGUGAAAUGCGUAGAGAUCUGAAGGAAUACCAGUGGCGAAGGCGGCCCCCUCGGACAAAGACUGACGCUCAGAUGCGAAAGCGUGGGGAGCAAACAGGAUUAGAUACCCUGGUAG
RNAcentral lists this ribosomal RNA (329 nucleotides) under uncultured bacterium. RNAcentral describes it as "bacterial SSU rRNA". It matches the Rfam family "Bacterial small subunit ribosomal RNA", at positions 467 to 793 of the family's 1533-position model. The record is from RNAcentral.